GGGAAAUGGAAAUGAAAGGAAAAAGCAAAAGGGAAAGUGGUGGUGGCUUCUGUUGAGGACAAACUAGAGAUUCUUGCAUCUCGAAAAGUUAAACUGGAGGCAGAUUUACUUCUUGACGAAGCUGCUGAAAAGUCAUACGAUCUAAUUGUUUUGCCUGGAGGGCUUGGUGGCGCGGAAGCAUUUGCAAAAUCUGAAAAACUGAUUAAUUUGCUAAAAAAGCAGGGAGAAUCAAACAAACCCUAUGGAGCAAUAUGUGCAUCCCCGGCUUUGGUCUUAGAACCCCACGGCUUGCUGAAGAAUAAGAAAGCCACUGCUUUUCCUGCAUUAUGUGACAAAUUGUCCGACAAAAGCGAAAUUGAAAACAGAGUGGUGGUUGACGGAAACCUGAUUACAAGCCGAGGACCUGGAACUACGAUGGAAUUUUCUCUGGCAAUCGUGGAGAAGCUUUUUGGAAGGGAUACAGCAGUUCAACUGGGAAAAACAAUGGUUUUCAUUCAGGAUUAAAGGUUAAUCGAGCAUAAUCACUGUGCGUGUUCCAUCUUCUUAACUACCAUGGAUGAGUGGAAUGACUUGUAUUAACUGAAGACUGGAUUCUCAUUUGAAUGUGUGAAUCCACUUCUAAAUUUUGUAUAUAUGUUUGUGGA
RNAcentral lists this unclassified non-coding RNA (644 nucleotides) under Hevea brasiliensis (rubber tree). The record is from RNAcentral. Lineage: Eukaryota; Viridiplantae; Streptophyta; Magnoliopsida; Malpighiales; Euphorbiaceae.